GUUGUUUGAAGCGUCUAUGAUAAACAGAGAGCAAAUUAGAAUCCAAGGAAGUUGACAUGUCAUCACUUCAUUUUUUUGCGCCUGCUCAUCAAUCUGAAAAACGUGAGUUUGUCAUCAUUUUUUAUCUAGACAUAGGAUAGGUUGUGUGAAAAUAUUACUGAUGUUUAACGUUAAAAAUGGACCAAAAGAUUAAUGCUAAACAACAUUUGACAUUUUUGAACGAACAUAAAUAGAUUAUUUACUAGGUUUUUUUAGCUUUUCGGCGUGAUUUUACCAGCCCCCCACCACGUUUUGUGGGAGCAUAAUGAACGCUAAGUACUUGGUGUUAUUUGGACAUAAAUUAUGAACUUUGUCAAAAGAAACCACAUUUGUUCCGGACCUGGAAUGCCUUCCGGACCUGGGAUCCUGCCUUCUGAUGGAGAUAAUCAAAGGGCUCUUUAUACUGUGCUCCUGUUUGGUGGCUUUACCAGCAACAUCCGAGAGGACUAUUACUAAGGUACAGCUGCUGACUGGGAGAAGGGAAGACACCAUAAAUGUACCUCAUACGAGGACGAAGACAGCCAUGACAGAAUCACCCACCACUCAAGGACCAAGCAGCAGAAGAAGGAGCAGAGGGAAUUCGAGUUGGACUGGCGGGAGAAAUGGACCUGGGAGGAAGUUCUGGACGGGGCCGGACCUUGGCACCAGGCUGGGGAUUAUUGACGCCCGCAGUGGGAAAUUGAGGCAGCCAAGGCAGAGAGGCGGUGGUACGAGGCCAAGUACGCGCUGAAGGAGAAGCACGAGAGGCACCCCCAAGAAUUUUUUUGGGGGGGGCACACGGGUAGUUUGGCUAGGCGUAAGAAGAGCC
This 847-nucleotide long non-coding RNA is filed under the name Salmo salar (Atlantic salmon). Its description in RNAcentral is "lncRNA (ENSSSAG00000083838.1)". The record is from RNAcentral. Lineage: Eukaryota; Metazoa; Chordata; Actinopteri; Salmoniformes; Salmonidae.